This 30-nucleotide non-coding RNA is filed under the name Mus musculus (house mouse). The record is from RNAcentral. Lineage: Eukaryota; Metazoa; Chordata; Mammalia; Rodentia; Muridae.
UGAAACCCAAGUAUGCUCAGACAUUUCUGC